GCCGGCCAUGUUAUCCUGAACAAGCCUGAUCCCGCCUGAUCCUGUCUGAUCUCAGAAGCUAAGUAGGGUCAGGCCUGGUUAGUACUUGUAUGGGAGGCUACCUAGGAAGACCAGGUGCUAUAGGUG
Molecule: ribosomal RNA, 126 nt
Filed under: Pteropus vampyrus (large flying fox)
Lineage: Eukaryota; Metazoa; Chordata; Mammalia; Chiroptera; Pteropodidae
Source: RNAcentral